Molecule: ribosomal RNA, 253 nt
Filed under: uncultured bacterium
Lineage: Bacteria
Description: partial 16S ribosomal RNA
Rfam family: Bacterial small subunit ribosomal RNA
Source: RNAcentral
UACAGAGGGUGCAAGCGUUAAUCGGAAUUACUGGGCGUAAAGCGCGCGUAGGCGGCUUUUUAAGUCGGAUGUGAAAGCCCCGGGCUCAACCUGGGAAUUGCAUACGAUACUGGAAGACUAGAGUAUGGUAGAGGGAAGUGGAAUUUCCGGUGUAGCGGUGAAAUGCGUAGAUAUCGGAAGGAACACCAGUGGCGAAGGCGGCUUUCUGGACCAAUACUGACGCUGAGGGACGAAAGCGUGGGGAGCGAACAGG